This is a long non-coding RNA of Camelus dromedarius (Arabian camel), 370 nucleotides long. RefSeq lists it as uncharacterized. The transcript has 3 exons. NCBI's taxonomy places the organism in Eukaryota, Metazoa, Chordata, Mammalia, Artiodactyla, Camelidae. The record is from RefSeq and is a predicted model, not a curated record.
UCAGCCUGUGGCAGUUGGUGACUAUCUUGCUCUCGUAAAAGCAGAGCCAUGUGAAGAUGACACCAGUGGCAGAGCCCAGAGGUGGGGAAAGAUGACUUCUGCUGAUGUCACUGAGCACCAGGUACAGCCCUGCCUGAAGCUAUCUCCCUGUGGAUGUCUCAGUUAGGCUGUCUGCUGCAUGAGAAUGGAGACCUGCCUGCUUCACUCCCUGCUGUGCCCGGUAUAUGGAACCCGCCCAACACACAGUAGGACCUCAGCGAAUGUGUGACGUGUGUGUGAUCACUGUAGGCCACAGACAAAGGUCUUCCCAGCAGUGAUGAAACCCUGUGACAGAUCCUGUCCACAGCACCCUGCUCCUCCGAUCCUGACC